Long non-coding RNA from Rhagoletis zephyria (snowberry fruit fly), 119 nucleotides. RefSeq lists it as uncharacterized. The record is from RefSeq and is a predicted model, not a curated record. Lineage: Eukaryota; Metazoa; Arthropoda; Insecta; Diptera; Tephritidae.
GGUUAUUAUUUGGGAAAAAAUAUUUUUAAAAACUUAUUUUAUUUAUAAAAAAAAUUGAUUUUUGGAGAUAUUUCCAAAUCGAUCCCGCUCACGUAAAAGUUUAUGUAUAUGAGGUCUUU